CAGUCGCCGCGGUAAAACGUAUGUCACAAGCGUUAUCCGGAUUUAUUGGGCGUAAAGGGAGCGCAGGCGGUUUAGUAAGUCUGAAGUUAAAGGCAUUGGCUCAACCAAUGUAUGCUUUGGAAACUGUUAGACUUGAGUGCAGAAGGGGAGAGUGGAAUUCCAUGUGUAGCGGUGAAAUGCGUAGAUAUAUGGAGGAGCACCGGUGGCGAAAGCGGCUCUCUGGUUUGUAACUGACGCUGAGGCUCGAAAGCGUGGGGAGCAAACAGGAUUAGAUACCCCCGUAGUCCCUGUCUCUUAUACA
RNAcentral lists this ribosomal RNA (301 nucleotides) under uncultured bacterium. RNAcentral describes it as "partial 16S ribosomal RNA". It matches the Rfam family "Bacterial small subunit ribosomal RNA", at positions 509 to 808 of the family's 1533-position model. The record is from RNAcentral.